This 78-nucleotide small nucleolar RNA is filed under the name Balaenoptera physalus (Fin whale). RNAcentral's name for it is "Small nucleolar RNA SNORD66". It matches the Rfam family "Small nucleolar RNA SNORD66". Rfam says of the family: snoRNA HBII-142 is part of the C/D family of snoRNAs. It is the human orthologue of the mouse MBII-142 snoRNA and is predicted to guide 2'O-ribose methylation of small 18S rRNA at residue C1272. The record is from Rfam by way of RNAcentral. Lineage: Eukaryota; Metazoa; Chordata; Mammalia; Artiodactyla; Balaenopteridae. RNAcentral also lists the same sequence under 1 other name.
UAUCUGUGAUCAUUAAUUUUCUGUGUCAGCUUGGCUGGGCCACAGAGUUUCUGUGAGGGUGUCUUUGUGGAUGAGAUG